Molecule: ribosomal RNA, 441 nt
Filed under: Pantoea eucrina
Lineage: Bacteria; Pseudomonadati; Pseudomonadota; Gammaproteobacteria; Enterobacterales; Erwiniaceae
Description: bacterial SSU rRNA
Rfam family: Bacterial small subunit ribosomal RNA
Source: RNAcentral
UGACGAGUGGCGGACGGGUGAGUAAUGUCUGGGAAACUGCCCGGUGGAGGGGGAUAACUACUGGAAACGGUAGCUAAUACCGCAUAACGUCUUCGGACCAAAGUGGGGGAUCUUCGGACCUCACGCCACCGGAUGUGCCCAGAUGGGAUUAGCUAGUAGGUGGGGUAACGGCUCACCUAGGCGACGAUCCCUAGCUGGUCUGAGAGGAUGACCAGCCACACUGGAACUGAGACACGGUCCAGACUCCUACGGGAGGCAGCAGUGGGGAAUAUUGCACAAUGGGCGCAAGCCUGAUGCAGCCAUGCCGCGUGUAUGAAGAAGGCCUUCGGGUUGUAAAGUACUUUCAGCGGGGAGGAAGGCGGUGAGGUUAAUAACCUCGCCGAUUGACGUUACCCGCAGAAGAAGCACCGGCUAACUCCGUGCCAGCAGCCGCGGUAAUAC